CAUGUGUCGACGUCGCAGCAAGCAGCAUUUUGAAGCCCAAUUACAUGUGUCUGGAAAGUCAAAAAAUGCCCGCCUCUGCUGUAUGUAAACGUGU
Long non-coding RNA from Rhagoletis zephyria (snowberry fruit fly), 94 nucleotides. RefSeq lists it as uncharacterized. Lineage: Eukaryota; Metazoa; Arthropoda; Insecta; Diptera; Tephritidae. The record is from RefSeq and is a predicted model, not a curated record.